Molecule: ribosomal RNA, 511 nt
Filed under: Amanita sp. Arora11344
Lineage: Eukaryota; Fungi; Basidiomycota; Agaricomycetes; Agaricales; Amanitaceae
Description: eukaryotic LSU rRNA
Rfam family: Eukaryotic large subunit ribosomal RNA
Source: RNAcentral
UUUAAAAUCUGGCAGUGGUUCACUGCCCGAGUUGUAAUCUAGAGAAGUGUUGCUCACACUGGACCAUGUAUAAGUCUUCUGGAAUGAAGCGUCAUAGAGGGUGAGAAUCCCGUCUUUGACAUGGACUCCCAGUGUAUUUGUAGCAUGCUCUCAAAGAGUCGAGUUGUUUGGGAAUGCAGCUCUAAAUGGGUGGUAACCUCCAUCUAAAGCUAAAUAUUGGCGAGAGACCGAUAGUGAACAAGUACCGUGAGGGAAAGAUGAAAAGAACUUUGGAAAGAGAGUUAAAAAGUACGUGAAAUUGUUGAAAGGGAAACGCUUGAAGUCAGUCACAUUGGCCAGGGAUCAACUUGCUUAAGUGUACUUCCUGGCUGAUGGGCCAACAUCAGCUUUGACUGUCAGAGAAGGGUAGGGGGAAUGUGGCACCCUUCUUGGGUGUGUUAUAGCCCUCUGUCAUAUAUGGCGGUUGGGGCUGAGGAAUGCAGCGCGCCACAAGGCCGGGUUUCGACCACGU